AUAUCAGUCAUGCAUAGCAUAUCAAUAAGCGGAGGAAAAGAAACUAACAAGGAUUCCCUUAGUAAUGGCGAGUGAAGCGGGAAGAGCUCAAAUUUGAAAUCUUCAAGGUUUUACCUUGACGAAUUGUAGUUUAAAGAAGUGUUUUCUGUUGAAGUUUUGGUAAAAGUUCUUUGGAAUAGGACAUCAUAGAGGGUGAGAAUCCCGUAUUUGACCAUUACUUUCAGCUUUGUGAUACACUUUCAAAGAGUCGGAUUGUUUGGGAAUGCAGUCCAAAAUGGGUGGUAAAUUUCAUCUAAAGCUAAAUAUUGGCGAGAGACCGAUAGCGAACAAGUACCGUGAGGGAAAGAUGAAAAGAACUUUGAAAAGAGAGUUAAACAGUACAUGAAAUUGUCAAAAGGGAAGCGUUUGACACCAGUGUUGUUUUCUCGAAAAUCAAUUAAAAAGAGUUGGAUUUUGUGUUGUAUUGACUUUAUCAGCUUUCUUCACUCUUUUCCAGCUUUUUUUAAUGCACUUUUCGUUUAACAAGUCAACAUCAGUUUCUUUUGUUGUAAAAAGGUCACUGGAAGGUGGCUUUCUCUUCGGAGAAAGUGUUUAUAGCCUUUGACUCAUGCAAUCGGAGAGACUGAGGUCUGCAGCGUAGAUCCUUCGGGGUUAGAUACAUUUGUGCUAAGUUAUAGCUUUUCAUAGACAACUUGUUGACUAUGUUUAGUCUUGUAGCUUACUCGCUUAUGCUAUUUUACCUACGCUUAGGAUGUUGAACUCUAUCACACACAG
This 774-nucleotide ribosomal RNA is filed under the name uncultured Neocallimastigales. RNAcentral describes it as "partial large subunit ribosomal RNA". It matches the Rfam family "Eukaryotic large subunit ribosomal RNA", at positions 22 to 621 of the family's 3401-position model. Lineage: Eukaryota; Fungi; Neocallimastigomycota; Neocallimastigomycetes; Neocallimastigales. The record is from RNAcentral.